RNAcentral lists this ribosomal RNA (504 nucleotides) under uncultured bacterium. Its description in RNAcentral is "partial 16S ribosomal RNA". It matches the Rfam family "Bacterial small subunit ribosomal RNA", at positions 30 to 523 of the family's 1533-position model. The record is from RNAcentral.
AUUGAACGCUGGCGGCAGGCCUAACACAUGCAAGUCGAGCGGUAACACAGAGAGCUUGCUCUCGGGUGACGAGCGGCGGACGGGUGAGUAAUGUCUGGGAAACUGCCUGAUGGAGGGGGAUAACUACUGGAAACGGUAGCUAAUACCGCAUAACGUCGCAAGACCAAAGAGGGGGACCUUCGGGCCUCUUGCCAUCAGAUGUGCCCAGAUGGGAUUAGCUAGUAGGUGGGGUAACGGCUCACCUAGGCGACGCUCCCUAGCUGGUCUGAGAGGAUGACCGGCCACACUGGAACUGAGACACGGUCAAGAGUCCUACGGGAGGCAGCAGUGGGGAAUAUUGCACAAUGGGCGCAAGCCUGAUGCAGCCAUGCCGCGUGUAUGAAGAAGGCCUUCGGGUUGUAAAGUACUUUCAGCGGGGAGGAAGGCGAUAAGGUUAAUAACCUUGUCGAUUGACGUUACCCGCAGAAGAAGCACCGGCUAACUCCGUGCCAGCAGCCGCCGUAA